RNAcentral lists this ribosomal RNA (497 nucleotides) under uncultured bacterium. RNAcentral's name for it is "partial 16S ribosomal RNA". It matches the Rfam family "Bacterial small subunit ribosomal RNA", at positions 28 to 507 of the family's 1533-position model. The record is from RNAcentral.
GAUGAACGCUGGCGGCGUGCCUAAUACAUGCAAGUCGAGCGAACAGACGAGGAGCUUGCUCCUCUGACGUUAGCGGCGGACGGGUGAGUAACACGUGGAUAACCUACCUAUAAGACUGGGAUAACUUCGGGAAACCGGAGCUAAUACCGGAUAAUAUAUUGAACCGCAUGGUUCAAUAGUGAAAGACGGUUUUGCUGUCACUUAUAGAUGGAUCCGCGCCGCAUUAGCUAGUUGGUAAGGUAACGGCUUACCAAGGCGACGAUGCGUAGCCGACCUGAGAGGGUGAUCGGCCACACUGGAACUGAGACACGGUCCAGACUCCUACGGGAGGCAGCAGUAGGGAAUCUUCCGCAAUGGGCGAAAGCCUGACGUAGCAACGCCGCGUGAGUGAUGAAGGUCUGCGGAUCGUAAAACUCUGUUAUUAGGGAAGAACAAAUGUGUAAGUAACUAUGCACGUCUUGACGGUACCUAAUCAGAAAGCCACGGCUAACUACGUG